UACGGAGGGUGCAAGCGUUAAUCGGAAUUACUGGGCGUAAAGCGCACGCAGGUGGCUGAGUCAGUCGAUUGUGAAAGCCCUGGGCUUAACCUGGGAAUUGCAGUCGAUACUACUCAGCUAGAGUAUGGGAGAGGGUAGUGGAAUUCCCGGUGUAGCGGUGAAAUGCGUAGAUAUCGGGAGGAACAUCAGUGGCGAAGGCGGCUACCUGGCCCAAUACUGACACUCAGGUGCGACAGCGUGGGGAGCAACAGG
Molecule: ribosomal RNA, 252 nt
Filed under: uncultured bacterium
Lineage: Bacteria
Description: partial 16S ribosomal RNA
Rfam family: Bacterial small subunit ribosomal RNA
Source: RNAcentral